CGAGACGUGGGAGCUUCUAGGGACGAGAUCGAGCUCCUUCUUAACCUCCUCAAACAGCUGGAAAACGACGCCGCUUGGCUCCUUUUGAUGCAUAUUUUUUUUUCCAUAACUAUUUAUAAACAAUAUUAAUCACUUUAAAUUUUAACAUCAGAGCUAAAAUGUGAAAAUCACUUUGCAUAUAAUAAUAUAGAUGUGACGGAUAUUUAAAAAAAUUAAAAAAAACUAAUGUAUGAUAUAGUAGUAACAUAUAAAUCAAUUUUGAAAGAGGUCACAUGCAUGUUUUCAUAUAUACACUAGAUUAAAAUUUUAGAGGAAAUUCUAACUUUACCUUGAUAUUACUUUUCAAAUUUUAGAGGAAAUUCUGUUACAGACGACGAGAACUGAGAAGAGGCGAUUCACGAGAAGAGAGAAUCGAAGAGGAAGAGUUUCACCUGGGUGAUUGAUCGGAGACUGAAGUGGAAGAAGCUCCGGUGAUAUCACUGCAUCAGGAUCCGAUUACCGGUGGUGUAUUUUCCAGGAAGGUUCGCGGAGGAUAGCAGAGGAGAAACGUCCUUGAUUCCGCCAUGGAAACUCACGAGCAGCAGAAGACGAAGAAACCGUCUUGAGAAACAUUUUUGACCGUUGAGAUGCUUUCGCCAGAAAACUGGACAAGGAUGAUGAAGAAGAAGACCGAUGGAGUGAUGAUGAUGAAGCUGUGGAUGAUUAAAAAAAAUAUUAUUUUUUCUUUCAAAUUUAUAUAAAAUAAGUACUAAUUAUAAUAUAAUAUUUGUUAAUUCACGCUACCGAAGAAAAAGAAAAGUUAAAAGACGAACGACAUAUUAAUAUUUGUUAUUUAUAUUUAUAUUUGGUAACAUAAUACAAUUUAUUAUGCCACAAACACUAACAAUAAUUAAUAAUGUUAUGUUUUUUCCUCUGAUAAAGGCGUGUAUUAUUAUAAAUAUUAUUUGAGUUCCAAUGUAGAUAAAAAAAAUCAAGGGUAACACAUAUUAUUUUUAUGUUUUUGAUACAUGCAUAAGCAAGUCCUCCCCCCCUGCGGGCCAAUGCAUUCACCAAUCCCAUUCCUUUUUCUGGUACAUUCAGCUUUACAAUCGUCCUUAGUACAGUCUCCAUUUUUCAGUUUGUAUUCUAUUGUACAAGGAAGUAAUUUAUGUGGUGGUCCUCCUUUCUGAGCAAUCGUCAUUACUCCUGUUAUUAUAAUAGUUAAAACAAAACUUUAGUCUUCGUAUUUAAAUAGAAAUUAAUGUUUUUGGUAAAACAUAUGUUUAGAGAGUUUUUUGCAUAUUUAUAGGGAAAAAAACUUAAAGUAUGAACAUCUUCUUUCUUAAUCAUUGAUUAUUUUGGAAAAAAUUUCUACACCCAAAGUUAUAGAAUUCGAUAUAAAAGUUAUAUUAUCAGUACAUAAAAUAAAAUGAUAUCAGAAUAACUUUAAUUUUAAAUGAUUUUUGAAUAUAAUAAUAAAAUUGUAAAUAUAAAUAUCAACCGAACAGAAGAACUGUGACUAUGAAGAGACCAAUAAGCGAAGGUUGAAAAUCAUUUUUCAUCUUAGAUAAUGAACUAGAGGUGUUUUAAAUUUACAAAGAAAGAGAAGUAUAUUUAUAGAUGAAUAAAAAAUUAAAACAUAUCUAAUUUAAGCUAUGUAUCUUCUAAAAUUCCGAUAUAAAAGGAUCUAAUUUGACCAAAAAUCUUUUUAAAAAAUUUCGUUUUUUUAUAGAUAAAAAAGUUGAAUUGGUUAUUUUUAAUGUAUUUAAAAUAUUUCUCGAUAUAUACAUAAAAACAACCAAUCGUCAAAGCUCUAUGAGGCGCAAUAUACAAAGUGUGAAGACGACAUGGUUAUUUUUAAUGUAUUUAAAAUAUUUCUCGAUAUAUACAUAAAAACAACCAAUCGUCAAAGCUCUGCAUCACAAAACCUUGAGAAACUAACACACAAGCUAGUUGAUACAUUGCUAGAGAGCUUCAUAGAGUAUAACCCCACGAGAGUACGCGAGACCUUAAAAUUCCCUUGAAGCCGCUUUAACUGUUCCAGAAGCAUUUGAUUGAAAUGCCAUGUCCCUGAAGAUCACACCACAAACAUUCAAAAGAAAUAAGCACGGAGAGCAGGAUGAAUCAACUUCUCAGCGUGCUCUGUUUCUUCCACACUCGAUUCCUUGAAGAACCUGAAACCAAAAAUGCGUAUCGGAGCAAGCAUACAUGGCGUGAUACUGAUACACAUACGAGAGAUUGUACUCCACACUACAAUACAACAACCACACGAUGGAUAAACCGUCAGCAGCAGAUUCUCAAGUACUAAAUCUUGUAACUAAUCCACCAGAUUACGAAUCCUACUCUCGAAGAGAUAGGGAGGUGAGAUCCGAAAACUUACUUGAUCUGCUCGUCAGAGUACUUUUGACGACCGAGCGAGACGUGGGAGCUUCUAGGGACGAGAUCGAGCUCCUUCUUAACCUCCUCAAACAGCUGGAAAACGACGCCGCUUAGCUCCUUUUGAUGCAUAUAUUUUUUUCCAUAACUAUUUAUAGAGUUGAUUACAUAAUGGGACACUUUUUGAGUUUCAUUUGCAUCCAGGGACACUUCCCACUUGUUGCACACAUUCACGGAGAUUGAGGAAGCUUUUGGACUAUUUUGCCAUCUGAUAAAAUUUAUUCAAAGUAGGAGUACAAGGUGAUACAUGAGCUGACGGAUAAAUAUGUGGAUGUGGACAUGAGUUUGUGGACAGAUUAAUGUUUUUGGUUUUUUUUUUUUUGAUCAACAAUGUUUUUGGUUUCUCUCGACAGAAUUUUAUUUGUUAUUAUUUCCUAUUAUUAUAUAUAAAUUUGAAAUAUAAUAUAUAUAAUAAAUUAUAUCAAGAUUUCUAUGUUUUGAGAUUCAUAUGUAUAUUUUAAUUUUUAUAAAAUUUAAAAAUGAGUUAAAUGGACACAAUAUCAUGGAUAAUGUUGUGGACAAUGCAAUUUGAACACAUUCAUCUUUUAAAUUUUAUAAAAUUUAAACCUGAAUUAAGUGUACAUAGUAUCAUGGACAACGUUUUGUGGACGGUGCAAUUUGAAAAAUUGUGUUGUGAACCUGUGCAAUUUGAAAAAUGAGUUAUGGAUGGCGUGUGUGUGGACGUGUACGUUGGUUCCUAUAGGUGAUGAGCACAUGACCAUGAUCUACUAAAACAGCUAACCAUUUACAGCAAUAACAUUGAAAUGAAAAACACCCUGAUUUAGUUCUUUUAAA
RNAcentral lists this long non-coding RNA (3210 nucleotides) under Brassica rapa (field mustard). RNAcentral's name for it is "long non-coding RNA (BRAP_LNC003124)". The record is from RNAcentral. Lineage: Eukaryota; Viridiplantae; Streptophyta; Magnoliopsida; Brassicales; Brassicaceae.